This 361-nucleotide ribosomal RNA is filed under the name Ixodes amarali. Its description in RNAcentral is "partial large subunit ribosomal RNA". The record is from RNAcentral. Lineage: Eukaryota; Metazoa; Arthropoda; Arachnida; Ixodida; Ixodidae.
GGUAUUUUGACUAUACGAAGGUAUUGAAAUAAGGCUUUAAAUGGGCGCUAAGAGAAUGAUUUAACGAUUAUAAUCUUUCUUUAUUUAAAAAAUUGAAUUUAAUUUUUUUGUGAAGAAGCAAACAUUGAUUUUAGGGACAAGAAGACCCUAUGAAUUUUUAAAUUUAAUUUAUAUUUUUUAAUAUAUAUUAAAUUUGGUUGGGGUGACAGAAAAAGAAUAAGUAUCUUUAUUUUAAAUAAAUAAGUUCCGUUAUUAACGAUUAAAUGAGAAAAAUACUCUAGGGAUAACAGCGUAAUAAUUUUGGAGAGUUCUUAUUGAUAAAAUAGUUUGCGACCUCGAUGUUGGAUUAGGAUUCUUUUUU